Molecule: ribosomal RNA, 257 nt
Filed under: uncultured bacterium
Lineage: Bacteria
Description: partial 16S ribosomal RNA
Rfam family: Bacterial small subunit ribosomal RNA
Source: RNAcentral
UACAUGGGGGUGCAAACGUUGCUCGGAAUUAUUGGGCGUAAAGCGCACGUAGGCGGUUCGUUAAGUCGGAUGUGAAAGCCCUCGGCUCAACUGAGGAAGUGCACCCGAAACUGGCGAGCUUGAGUACGAAAGAGGAUCGCGGAAUUCCCGGUGUAGAGGUGAAAUUCGUAGAUAUCGGGAGGAACACCGGGUGGCGAAGGCGGCGAUCUGGGUCGAUACUGACGCGUGAGGUGGCGAAAGCGUGGGGAGCAAACAGG